This 583-nucleotide long non-coding RNA is filed under the name Homo sapiens (human). RNAcentral's name for it is "HSALNT0216869". The record is from RNAcentral. Lineage: Eukaryota; Metazoa; Chordata; Mammalia; Primates; Hominidae.
ACAGGAAGUCUAUGGGGACAGAGGGGAUGGGGGUCUUGAGGAUGACUCGGGCUCCUGAAGGCAGGGGAGGGAGGCAGGAGAGUGUCAGAGAGGCAGUGUUGUGAGGACCUCCAUGCCUGCUCUGAGCUGGGGCCCCAGGUGUGUGCUGUCACUCAGGCACAUGCCCCAGUGAGAGCAUGUUCUGGCAGGGGGAAUGGACGUGGCCUCGGGGCAGGGCCGGCAGGAGCCUGGAGGUGGCCCCACAAGCCCCAUCGUCUGCCCACCUCAGGUCAGAGUCCGACAGCCCCAGAAGAGAGGGGAGCCCGGCAAGGCAGGCAGGGCUGGAGGCCUCAGGGCCACCUGUGUCUGCUGGUGGGGGGCGGGGGGGGUGCCAUGAGGCCGACCCUCCUUCCGCCAGGCUGAGGCACGUCCCCCGGACACAGAUGGCUCUUUGUCAGGGAUGAGCUGAGCUUGCUGAGCAGCCUCUGGAACAAAGCCCCUCUGUCCAUGCUGUGCCUCCCCACCCGGAGCACCACCUCCCGGGAAGGAGCAGAGCCCCGGGCUCCCAUCCGGCGCACCCACCAGGCACAGCCUUGGCCGGAGG